CACGGACGCGCCGUGUGCCCGUGCCCUUGCCAAGCGCCGCCCAUGAGCAUGAGGCGCACGCGAGCAAUCCCCGUCCCCCGGCAACGCAAUGGCCGCGCCACGCGACUAGGCGAGGCAGCGCCGCGCCGCACGGGGCCGAGCCACCUGUCAACGAUGCGGAGACGACGCUGGCUACCGAAGAGGAGGAGGUGCCAGAUGGGCUACAGGAUCGUGAAGACAAGCAACCAGAAGCAAUGGGCCGUGGCCGAAGGAAUCAAACGCGCAACUUGCGAUUCGUUAGGCCAGAAUGGACCGUGUAACCCAGCUGAGCUGACGCGUGUGGCGUGUGUGUUGGCUAUAUGUAACAGAACUAGCUGGUAUUAGAGAGUAUGAACUAUGAACACGACGGCGGCGGCGGCUCCAUCCUAUCGGAUUGGAGAGUUCCUUGUAUCGUAUUCGUGAAUUCCAUCAAUACAAUCCACCCUCUAUUUGCUGCA
This 476-nucleotide long non-coding RNA is filed under the name Oryza brachyantha (malo sina). RNAcentral's name for it is "long non-coding RNA (OBRA_LNC000190)". Lineage: Eukaryota; Viridiplantae; Streptophyta; Magnoliopsida; Poales; Poaceae. The record is from RNAcentral.